Non-coding RNA from Dermatophagoides farinae (American house dust mite), 1157 nucleotides. NCBI's taxonomy places the organism in Eukaryota, Metazoa, Arthropoda, Arachnida, Sarcoptiformes, Pyroglyphidae. The record is from RefSeq and is a predicted model, not a curated record.
CUAUUGGCCACUGUUUGUUUGAUUUCCAAUCAAAUUCAACAAAAAACAAUCCAUUUGCGAUUUUUUUCAACAACACUAGACUAUUACCCCCUGGAUACAAGCGAUAUUUGUUGAAAAUUUCCCAGAAUAGGAUACUAUUUGGCGUUGUUUUUUUUAAUUCAAUUUUUUUUUCGUAGGAAAAAACUUUGUUCCGUUUUAUAGAUUAUGAUUAUGAUGAUUGUGUUUGUUUAUCAAUUGAACAAUGAUGGCCAUGGCUGCUGUCACUUGAAUGAAAAAGAAAAAAAACUUUAAAUCAACCAAUUAUUGAUUGAUCAUCGUUCAUCAUUCAUCAUCUUAUCAAUAUGAAAAAAAACGAAUGAAAUCUACAUCUGAAUAACAAAGACAAGAACAUUAUUCCUUGUCUAUAUAUACGUGUUUUUGUGUGUGUGUGUGUUGGUUUUGAGGUUGGAUGUGUGAUUUUUUUUCUUUUUACACAUCAAUAAACGUUUGACAGUGUGACACCAAAUUGUACUUUGUAAAUUUUGGACAUUUGUCAUUUCUUUUUCUUCUUCUUCUUCAAAUUUUCGUUCAACAAUCAUCUAGAACACAAAAAGAGAAAUUUUCUGUAUUCUUUUGUGUGUCUGUGUGAUAGUAGUCAAUAUUUAUUCGGAUAAAAUAAAUGGUGAAACAAAAAAAUCAACUUUUUUUUUGGUGAUCAUAUCAUAUCAACAUCAUCAUCAUCAUCAUUAUUAUCUUAAAUUAUUCAUCUUUUUCCCAAUUCAUAUAUUUAUUUAUAAAUAUAAAUAUAAUGUAUGUAGUCGAUACAAUAACAAGAUGCCAAAUUUGCCGUUGUUGUUGCUAGUUGAUGGUGAUUGAAUCAUUCAUCGUUUAGACAUCGACAAAAUUGCUCGUCCACAAAGAUCAUCAUCAUUGCUUCAUAAUAGAUAGAUCGAAACAAAAACAAUUUUUUCUGGAUAAAUGUCGACAAUUAUUCACCGUCAUUCAACAACAACAACAACAACAUUGCCAUCAUCGAUUAAUUUAAACGAUUACAAUGCUGUUAACAUUGACAACGAUAUCAACAAGAAUCAUUUUGAACAAGAUUCAAACAACAAUAAUUCCAAUGUUAUUAAUGAUAAUUCAAUUCUUCAAGAUGAUCGAUUCCAUCAACAACAACA